This is a long non-coding RNA of Mastomys coucha (southern multimammate mouse), 613 nucleotides long. RefSeq lists it as uncharacterized. The record is from RefSeq and is a predicted model, not a curated record. NCBI's taxonomy places the organism in Eukaryota, Metazoa, Chordata, Mammalia, Rodentia, Muridae. The transcript is spliced from 2 exons.
ACCUUGCCCUGUUGCUGACUUCUCGGUUUGAGUAUUAGGUGACCUGAACUAGGCUGUGUUUAAUUGCCUGCUUUACAGGAAACCACCAUCCUAACUGCUCCUCUCUCUUCAACCAACACCCAAAGCCACUGCCAAUGUCUAGGGGAUGAGACUUCACAAGGUUUCCAAAUCCUCGGUUCGUGGAACCCCACGCAGGUAGGAGCUGCAGGACGGCAUCCUACAAUCUAACUUAAAAAAUUAAAAAAAAAAUGAACCUAAGUGUAGUUAAAACUUGGACCUUGCCCAGGAAGACUAUACUUCAAAGGUCAGCAUUUUAAAACUGGUUUCCUCUGCAAUAGCAAAGUGUUGCAAACAUUAGGAACAAGGCAAGACUUCAGCAUAGUUCUUUGAUUUUGGUCAUACAUUUUACUUUAAUUUACUUUAAGCUGUACAGGAAGUUAACAUGAGAUGAAUGCUGAGCUCCUGGCUUCAGACCAAGCAAGUUUGUACUUUGUGAAAUUCCACUCUCAAAUGUCAUUUCCCCCAGCUUUUCUACACUGGCCCACAACUGACAACCCCAAGUUGAUGUACUCUAUGAAAAGUGCCCCGCAAAUAAACUUGUUACAAACUGGAA